This is a long non-coding RNA of Solanum stenotomum, 892 nucleotides long. RefSeq lists it as uncharacterized. The transcript has 5 exons. Lineage: Eukaryota; Viridiplantae; Streptophyta; Magnoliopsida; Solanales; Solanaceae. The record is from RefSeq and is a predicted model, not a curated record.
UGUUGCUCGUUUUAUGGGUGGUAUAACUCGGCCUCCCCACCUUUCUAUUAGCACUGAGUUCCUGCCACGGGAAAAGUGGUGUGUGAAAUUGUUGUGGGCACACACAAUGAAACAAUUUCUCAUCAGAACUGCUACCCUUUUACAGAGAUUUGGAAUGCAAUGUCAAUCUGGAGAAGAUGAGAGGAGCAAAAAAAAAUCGCACUUACUAUAAGCAAAAUUGCAGUUCAACUGAGGAGCAAAGCUGGAGAAAAUGCGAGUGGAGUGAGAAGAGAGGUUAUGUAGAGUAUGAAAGUGGAGCAGAAUUUGUUAUGGUUCGGUAUUUUAAAUUUCGUUUUUGAUAGAGUGCGUAAAUCAACAGAGUACAAGGAAUUGAAUUUUUUAUGGGUUCUAAAUUUUCAAAGACAUCAAGUGACGGGGCCCAUUAUCCACCGAGUUUAGAAGGCUGUGAUUGGUCCAAAGGGAUGAUAAUAUAGCACUCCUAUUGCUAUUGUUAUGAAUUACGAUGAAGAACCCAAAAACAGGUUUAGAGAAUAGAGAUGCCUGCAAAAGCUGCUGCUAAGGAGCCAACAGUAGUCUUUAUGAUCUCGCCAAACCAGAUUCUGAAAAAUAGGCGAUUUAAUAAGCCAUUGAACUGUCCCCCUAAGAUUAGUUGCUUUAGCUGGACUGCACUUCAUGGAGCUUUCCUGACCCAAGACAACCUGGCCAGAAGGAAGUUUCAGAUGGCUACCAGAUGUUAUAUGUGCAUGAAGGAAGCAAAAACACACAACCACGUAUUUCUACAAUGUCAAAUAGCAGCAAACUUAUGGAGUAUGUUUUUAGCUCUUUUUGGUCUCAAAUGGGUCAUGCCUCAGAAUAUCAGGGAUGUUUUGAUAAGCUGGAGUUGCUGGAAAGU